GGAAGUAAAAGUCGUAACAAGGUUUCCGUAGGUGAACCUGCGGAAGGAUCAUUACUGAUUUAGCGAACCGAGCGUUAGCGAGGUUUUGCGAUCAACUUGUAUUUAAAACCCACUCUUUAAUGUAUAAAAUUUGUAUUAAUGAUAAAUUAAAAGAUCACUUUCAACAACGGAUCUCUUGGCUCUCGCAUCGAUGAAGAACGUAGCGAAGUGCGAUAAGUAAUGUGAAUUGCAGUAUUCCGUGAAUCAUCGAAUCUUUGAACGCAUAUUGCACUUUCUGGUAUUCCGGAAAGUAUGCCUGUUUGAGGGUCAGUUAAAUAAAAAUCGGUGUUGUUGCUGCCUUUCGUGGUGACGCGUCGGAAUUGAGUUGUCUUACCUUCGGUUAAGUGACUUAAAAUUUUGUAUGAUUUUUGAACGUAUUUAAAUUUAUUUGUACGUUUGAGAUAUCGAAUAUUUAUUAGGUUCGGUCAUUCUAACGACUCGCGCCUAUAAUUUUCCAUUAAAUGACCUCAAAUCAGGUAAGAAUACCCGCUGAACUUAAGCAUAUCAAUAAGCGGAGGA
RNAcentral lists this ribosomal RNA (558 nucleotides) under uncultured Glomus. RNAcentral describes it as "eukaryotic LSU rRNA". The stretch from base 156 to 309 matches the Rfam family "5.8S ribosomal RNA". Lineage: Eukaryota; Fungi; Glomeromycota; Glomeromycetes; Glomerales; Glomeraceae. The record is from RNAcentral.